AACGCGUAUGCAAUCUACCUUUUACAGAGGGAUAGCCCAGAGAAAUUUGGAUUAAUACCUCAUAGUAUAAUGACUCGGCAUCGAGAUAUUAUUAAAGUCACAACGGUAAAAGAUGAGCAUGCGUCCCAUUAGCUAGUUGGUAAGGUAACGGCUUACCAAGGCUACGAUGGGUAGGGGUCCUGAGAGGGAGAUCCCCCACACUGGUACUGAGACACGGACCAGACUCCUACGGGAGGCAGCAGUGAGGAAUAUUGGACAAUGGGCGCAAGCCUGAUCCAGCCAUGCCGCGUGCAGGAUGACGGUCCUAUGGAUUGUAAACUGCUUUUAUACGAGAAGAAACACUGCUUCGUGAAGCAGCUUGACGGUAUCGUAAGAAUAAGGAUCGGCUAACUCCGUGCCAGCAGCCGCGGUAAUACGGAGGAUCCAAGCGUUAUCCGGAAUCAUUGGGUUUAAAGGGUCCGUAGGCGGUUUAGUAAGUCAGUGGUGAAAGCCCAUCGCUCAACGGUGGAACGGCCAUUGAUACUGCUGAACUUGAAUUAUUAGGAAGUAACUAGAAUAUGUAGUGUAGCGGUGAAAUGCUUAGAGAUUACAUGGAAUACCAAUUGCGAAGGCAGGUUACUACUAAUGGAUUGACGCUGAUGGACGAAAGCGUGGGUAGCGAACAGGAUUAGAUACCCUGGUAGUCCACGCCGUAAACGAUGGAUACUAGCUGUUGG
This 716-nucleotide ribosomal RNA is filed under the name Flavobacterium sp. A6AT7. RNAcentral's name for it is "bacterial SSU rRNA". It matches the Rfam family "Bacterial small subunit ribosomal RNA", at positions 112 to 826 of the family's 1533-position model. Lineage: Bacteria; Pseudomonadati; Bacteroidota; Flavobacteriia; Flavobacteriales; Flavobacteriaceae. The record is from RNAcentral. RNAcentral also lists the same sequence under 1 other name.